RNAcentral lists this ribosomal RNA (465 nucleotides) under Vreelandella stevensii. RNAcentral describes it as "partial 16S ribosomal RNA". It matches the Rfam family "Bacterial small subunit ribosomal RNA", at positions 338 to 795 of the family's 1533-position model. Lineage: Bacteria; Pseudomonadati; Pseudomonadota; Gammaproteobacteria; Oceanospirillales; Halomonadaceae. The record is from RNAcentral.
CCUACGGGUGGCUGCAGUGGGGAAUAUUGGACAAUGGGGGCAACCCUGAUCCAGCCAUGCCGCGUGUGUGAAGAAGGCCCUCGGGUUGUAAAGCACUUUCAGUGAGGAAGAACGCCUGGUGGUUAAUACCCAUCAGGAAAGACAUCACUCACAGAAGAAGCACCGGCUAACUCCGUGCCAGCAGCCGCGGUAAUACGGAGGGUGCGAGCGUUAAUCGGAAUUACUGGGCGUAAAGCGCGCGUAGGUGGCUUGAUAAGCCGGUUGUGAAAGCCCCGGGCUCAACCUGGGAACGGCAUCCGGAACUGUCAAGCUAGAGUGCAGGAGAGGAAGGUAGAAUUCCCGGUGUAGCGGUGAAAGGCGUAGAGAUCGGGAGGAAUACCAGUGGCGAAGGCGGCCUUCUGGACUGACACUGACACUGAGGUGCGAAAGCGUGGGUAGCAAACAGGAUUAGAUACCCCAGUAGUC